ACACUGAUAGCUAGGUCGUUUAAGGGGUCAAAGUUGGCACGUUUUAUUUUUUUUGCGGGCCCACUCGUCAGUUGCAUCUUCUUCCUCUCUCCAGCACCUGGGCGCCUCUGGUUGGUCUGCACAGGCGCCGAGGAUCGCCAUUGGCCAAUUCCGGCCGCACCAGCAAGGCCCCCAUCGCCCGGUUGGUUUCCCAAGCAUCUCCCACUUCCUCCCCCUCCCUCCCACGCCUCCCCUCGCCUGCGGUUGGGCAGGCGCCCAUGCGCCCGCCAUGGCCGCCACAUGGCCGGCGGCCAUCGGCAACUCCCUCGUCACCAAUGGUCGUCCCGCAUUGCCGUGGCAUCCUUAUCGCCUCGUCGUUCUUAUCCUCACCUCACCCCAGCUAUAUAAACAACACCAGCCCCUCCAGAACCACUCGCCCCUUCCUCCCAACCUCCAUUGCCUGUACUAUCACCUCUAAAUCCCCAAUUUUCAUCGUCGAAAUCCACUGCGUGAGCGAGCCUCAGCUCGAUUCCUCACGCCAGUAGCAUCCCCAUGUCGUCCCGCAUCCAUUUUGCCCCUUCCCGGACUCUCCCUUGUCGGACGGCGCCCUCCACGGCAAGCACCCCCGCCGCCCGAUCUGCUGCUCACGGGCCUCCCUGCGCGCCACCUAUCCCUCGUCGCCGGCCCCUGCUAGUGAGCCUCUGGUCCCAAGGUGCCGCCCCUCUCCCUCCCCAAGCCGCCUCUUCUCUUUCCCCCACCUUCGACCCCAAGUCCAUAGCCAUGUCGCGCCUCUGUGAACCGUGCGUGCUUGUGUUGUGUUUUGUUUGUGCAUGGGGGAUCUCAUUGGAGAAGAAGAAGGAAGUGUAGGGGGUUAUGGGUGAAAUUCACGGACCUUGGCGCAAUUAACUCGUAGACCUGGGGGCUAGAUUGGAAGAUGGCCUCGGAUUUCUUUAAUUUCCUAGAUCUAAAAAGGCUGAAAUUUUGGAAAUUCAUAGUAAAUUGUAGAAAAAUUGUCAAAUAGCAUAUGAAGAUGUUUUGGAAUCCUUGUAAGUAGAAUUAUGCAGUAAAGUUAUAAUAUGAUAUGUGUUAGUAGAAAGUUUCUGAUGUUUUUAUUUAUUCUUUCAAAGUGCUUUUAGAAAUCCUUUUAAGUUGGUUAGAUGCAUAUUUUGAGUUAUAGAAGUCUAAAGAUUAUGAUUCCAGUUGUGUUAGUCUUGUGAUGACACUCUCUAGCUAAUAAAAAUAUUGAACAUGCUAGUUGUGUACUGUUUUUAUCAUGUUAUGAUUUAAUAGACAAUUUUAGCUUGUUUUGCUUGUCAUUUUCAUAUCUAAAGUUGUGUCCUCCAAUUUCUGUGCAAUUUCUAAGGUAGGGUAUAAAUGAUGCUCUUGUACUGCGAUAAAAAUUUCAUAUUUACUGGUGGAUGUAUGACUUAGUUAUUGAUUUAACUUGUUUCAUGCUUGUUAUGUGAUUUAUAAAUAUUAGGAGUGUCUAAAAAUAGAAAUUAUAGUUCCACUACCUUUUUAUGAGGUUGUUCUACCAUAAAUACCAUAAUAACAUGUUAUAUGGCUAUGUGUUUAUAGAAAAUGAUGAUCUUUAGAAGUAUCUUGCUUUUACAUGUUUUCU
RNAcentral lists this long non-coding RNA (1600 nucleotides) under Setaria viridis. RNAcentral describes it as "long non-coding RNA (SVIR_LNC001903)". The record is from RNAcentral. Lineage: Eukaryota; Viridiplantae; Streptophyta; Magnoliopsida; Poales; Poaceae.